Molecule: long non-coding RNA, 1026 nt
Organism: Triticum dicoccoides
Lineage: Eukaryota; Viridiplantae; Streptophyta; Magnoliopsida; Poales; Poaceae
Exons: 4
Source: RefSeq, a predicted model, not a curated record
CCAGGGGCGGAUCGCACGCGACGGUGAUUGGGAUUUUUUUCCUCCAUCCUCCCAUUCCCCGUUCCCACUCCACUCCUCACUACGCCGGCGACGAGCGAAACCCCAAUCCCCCACGAAAUCCCUACGGCUUCGCGGCGAGCUAGCCGGCGACGAGUCAAUUGACGGAGAAAGGUGACGCGCCCAGCGAAGGAUCCCGCCCAGCAUCCGACGGGUGAGGGCGGCGCGCGCGUGCCGGAGAAGGAGGAGAAGGAAGUGGCGAUGGGGAAGGAGAAGAAGGAAGCGACACGAAGCUCUGCGCGAAGCGGGGGACGACCCGGAGACGCGAGAUCCUGCUGAUUCGACGCCUCGAGGAAAAAACCAAAAUUGAAAAACUAGGGGGGAGGGCAUCUUUUUCAGUAUCCCUGGAGUGGCAGUUUUUAAGAUGGAUGACUACCCAUAUCAACAGAAUGGCGAGGGUGCAGCAAGAACCGACGCGGCGGCCAGGAACAAAGAUGUGGGUUUACAAGUCCGUAGGCGACCAAGAAAUAAGCAGGUUCAGUCUGGGCAAAGGCAUGGGACAACAAACGCAUAGGGAAAGUCACAAAAGCUGACAAAAAACCAGAGGGUGGAUACGGCAAGCUUCCCAAGAAAGGUGCAAGACAAUAGUCAAGAAACAAUUCAAGAGCCAGCAACUUUAUCUAGCAUCAUGGUUGUACAGGAGGCAAGAACAGGGAGAUCAGAUUUGGGGCAAAGAUUCAAGUCAGCCUUGCAACAUUUUUUGGCUACAUGGAGGCAAAUCUGCAAGUAGUAUAGCAAUGGGGGGUAGGUACAUCUGAGGAGUUCAACUAGCUAUAGUAGAACUAAAAAGUAUCUCAUGGUCAAAAAAAUUCCAACGACCCUGUUACCUUUCUGGCAGUUUGCCCAGUUCUGGCAAUUUUUUUGCCCACAUUUUCUUCAGAUUGUUGCCUGAUCAGCACAAAGAGUUGCAGAGAAAGAUUGUUGACUGAUCAGCACAAAGAGUUGCAGAGAAGGUUGUGUUCUUCACGA